UGUUAAGGUCCGAGUACGAUGGUGUUUACAAUUAAUUGAUCACAGCCAGUUACAGAUUUCUUUAUUCCUUCUCCACUCCCACUGCUUCACUUAACUAACCUUGU
Molecule: Y RNA, 104 nt
Filed under: Zalophus californianus (California sea lion)
Lineage: Eukaryota; Metazoa; Chordata; Mammalia; Carnivora; Otariidae
Description: Y RNA (ENSZCAG00015023179.1)
Rfam family: Y RNA
About the family: Y RNAs are components of the Ro ribonucleoprotein particle (Ro RNP), in association with Ro60 and La proteins. The Y RNAs and Ro60 and La proteins are well conserved, but the function of the Ro RNP is not known. In humans the RNA component can be one of four small RNAs -- hY1, hY3, hY4 and hY5.
Source: RNAcentral